GUGCUUGCGUCGCUUAUGCCCCCGCCUUCAUACGGCGGAGGUCCUGAGUUCGAAUCGCAGCGGGCCCA
RNAcentral lists this transfer RNA (68 nucleotides) under Methanosarcina sp. 2.H.A.1B.4. Its description in RNAcentral is "tRNA-Met". The record is from RNAcentral. Lineage: Archaea; Methanobacteriati; Methanobacteriota; Methanomicrobia; Methanosarcinales; Methanosarcinaceae.